UCAACCAAGAAAUCACCAUGUUGUUGCACCUAUCCCACAACCUUUGUUGAGCCACAUUAGUGGCAGGUCGGGAGUAUGUGCCAUCAACAAAACAGAUUUUGUUUUUGGCUGAUAAGGGAACAAUCAUUUUACGUCUCCAUCCCCCAUAUCCACUACCCGAGAAAGGAGUGGGAACAAGAGAUACCCCAGGGACAUCAGAAGAAUAUACAAAUAGGGGACUGGAAGAGUCUACAGAAGGGGAGGCACCAGUACCAGUACUUGUGUUAGAAGCCAUAGUCAAUGAACCGGCUUAGAUGAACAACUUUUCAACAAACAGAAUACACCCAAACCGGUAUUCAUACACAACAACCAACAAAUAGAACACAGUCAAGUCAGGUAUUCACAAACAACACCAGAUGUUCACAAGUACACAGUCAAAUAAUCACAUAUAAUACCGAAGAUAAGGACAGAGUUACCCUCCUUNNNN
Molecule: long non-coding RNA, 466 nt
Filed under: Nicotiana benthamiana
Lineage: Eukaryota; Viridiplantae; Streptophyta; Magnoliopsida; Solanales; Solanaceae
Description: long non-coding RNA (NBEN_LNC026816)
Source: RNAcentral